GAUUUUUCUGAGUGUGUGGAGAGUAGGUUGAGAAGAAGAAGAAGAAUGGUAGCUGUUUUGAAUGCUGAGAUCUUUCAAACAUCUUGCUCUUUGUGUCAGGGUUCUUCUUUUAGGGUAUGUCUAAACUACAUGGCUCUGUCGACGGAGCCAUGUAG
MicroRNA precursor from Pelodiscus sinensis (Chinese soft-shelled turtle), 155 nucleotides. The record is from Ensembl. Lineage: Eukaryota; Metazoa; Chordata; Testudines; Trionychidae.